Rana temporaria (common frog) is the source of this 81-nucleotide small nucleolar RNA. RefSeq annotates it as small nucleolar RNA SNORD121A. NCBI's taxonomy places the organism in Eukaryota, Metazoa, Chordata, Amphibia, Anura, Ranidae. The record is from RefSeq and is a predicted model, not a curated record. The transcript has a single exon.
AGCCAGAACACAGUGAUGUAUUGAUUUCCAAGCACAUAUCUGAAUUUUGUGUGGAGACCUCAGUUUCUGAGUGUUCUGGCU